This is a long non-coding RNA of Octopus bimaculoides (California two-spot octopus), 3597 nucleotides long. The record is from RefSeq and is a predicted model, not a curated record. NCBI's taxonomy places the organism in Eukaryota, Metazoa, Mollusca, Cephalopoda, Octopoda, Octopodidae.
AUUAAGCUAUACAUAAAAAUAGUGGAGGCGCAAUGGCCCAGUGGUUAGGGCAGCAGACUCGCGGUCAUAGGAUCACGGUUUCGAUUCCCAGACUGGGCGUCGUGAGUGUUUAUUGAGUGAAAUCAUCUAAAGCUACACGAGGUUCUGGCAGGGGAUGGUAGCGAACCCUGCUGUACUCUUCCACCACAACUUUCACUCUUUCUUCCUGUUUCUGUUGUGCCUGUAAUUCAAAGGGUCAGCCUUGUCACACUGUCACGCUGAAUAUCCCCGAGAACUACGUUAAGGGUACGGAGUGCUCAGCCACUUGCACGUUAAUUUCACGAGCAGGCUGUUCCGUUGAACGGAUCAACUGGAACCCUCGACGUCGUAAGCAAAAGAGUGCCAACAGCAUAAAAAUAACAACAGAAUGUCUCGAAGUAUCGUUUAUUUUGCUUUAAUCAUCUGCACCGAUGAGCGUACGAUCAGUCUUUUAAAUCCAACUUAACGCCUUACCGGAAGUCUCUUCUCUGCGGACUCAGUGUAGUUCAUUGCCUUCUUCAGUCCGUCCGUUUUGUAUCCUGUUUCUAUAGUAAUAAGCCAAGCUGUUCUAUGGUUUACGCGUAUUUCUGCGAGGUUUUGUAACAGAUGAUACGGAAAUUGUAAUUUGUUUAUUAAAACAUCCGUCGAUGAAUGUUUUGUCGUGGUAAUAUUGUCAUCAGAGAAAUAUUUUUCUAAAGGUUUUUUGCAACAAGUGAAUAACAAACAUCUGAUCAAAAGACAACUGAUAUUCAUAAUUUAAAUAUAAAACCACCUUUCUUUCAUGCGUUCAAAUACAUCCGAAUGAUCAAUACUUGAAACCAGAAAAAAAAGUUUUAAUGAUUUCUAUAACCUAUAAGUUAUAGAAAUUAAUUCAAGAGACUGAAUGCCUCAAAAAGCAUGUGGUGCUUUCUUUGGAAAAAGAGGCAGCGGACCUCACUGAGAUAGAAACAAAUAUAAAGCGGCUGGAUGUGAAUUUACUCGGACGUAUUCUACUGCGAGUUCUUGACGGGUGGAUACCAGUCGCUAAAGCGCUAGGAGUUGAUGAAGAGGAAAUUCAAAAAUCCUACGAUGACUAUUCCAAGAAUGAACAGCUGUACAAGAUAAAUGUUUUUGACUGGUGGAGAAAAAGAAAAGGAUUCGGUGAAAAUGGGGUUAAAGAAUUGCUGAUAGCCCUUAAGAAGUGCCAGGAAUGUGUUGUUGACUGGGGAAGUAUGAGAGAGUUACUUAAUUCAGUAAAGCAAAACAGAAACUAAAUAAUAAAUAGAAAUUGACCUGGUCAGUGUGUUACAUAUAUAUUAGGCCUGAAAUAUUGUUGAAGGCAAUUAGUUGAUUGAAUGGACCCGGCUCCAAAUGGAUAAAGGGCAAAGUUGAGCUCAUUAGGAUUUGAACUCAGGACGCAAAGAACUAGAAGAAAUAAUUAUUUUAAAAUUAGACACAAGGACAGCAACUUCAAGAAGUGCGAGUUAAACUCAGAACGUAAAGAACCGGAAUAAUCUUGGGCUAUUAAAAGGAACUCCAUUUUAACUAAUUCAUAUCUAUUUAUGUAUAACUAGCAGAAAUAUCCGGCGUUGCCCAUGUUAAAGAACUAAUGAAAUUCAAAAAUGCCUUUUAGAUCUCUAACAUGAAUCAUGGACUAUGCAGGUCUUACCUCCAAGUAGCUUAGAUACCGACUUUAUAUGUUAACUAGCAGCUAAGCCCGGUCGAUUUGGAUGAUGUGGCUGUAAAACCAGUUCCAUGUAAGCAUUCAACUUGUUUGGGCACGCUUAUGUUAAAAAACAAUUUUAGAAUGACUUUUUCCUGUCAAAACGCUAAAAAUAACUGACCAACAAAAACAAAAAACAACCAAGAUUCAACCAAAUCAAAGAAUAAACCCAAAUACUAAGCGAACAAAGAUGAACCAUCCCACUUCCAUUGUGUGUGCACACACACAUAUAUUCACAGAGUUGAAACGCUGUUUGAUUUAUUUUUUCAGUGUACAAUUUUCAUCAUCCCACUACCAAGUAUGACAUCACCCCUUCCUUUCUCAUUCAUAAACACAAGAGUAUUAUUGUAGUAGGUUAUCUCGGUAACCAUGGGAGCUAUGAAAAAAUACAAAGCCCAGCAACACAUGAUUAUUCUACACAUCUGUGCAAUUUUUCGCGCACUUCCACCCAGCCAUUUGACGAUGAAUCCCAAGACAAGAAAGAAUCGCCCAUGUCAAAUUUAUAUGUAUAGAUAACCCGGUGUUUCCAAUGUUAUUGAAAAUAAUGAAAUUUAAUUAUUCCUUUUAAAUCUCUAAGUAAAAUGAAACGGAUUAUGCAGUUCUCAACAGUAAUUAGCUGAGGUACAAACUAUUGAUGUCAAUAACAUUUUUUCCAGUGUUCUCACUGUUAAAAUUGUUAGCAAAAAAAAACAAGUAGUUCUUUGUCUUUGCAGUGACCUUCAUUUAUCAGCACUUAUUUGAAACACAUUGACCUGAAAAUGCAUAAAUUUGAGAAGAACCAGCCUGUUGGCGCUCCUCUCCUGUUAAUAAGUACAUUUAACAAAAAUUCUAUCAGAUGACGUCAGUAUAAACAAAUGUAUUGAAACAAAUCCGGCAAUCAAUCACAGUUUAAUUAUCUAGAGCUUCUAAUUAUACGAUGCUUUGAGUGUGUCCUUUAAUUGGUGUAUAAAUGAAAAAAUUUUGAGGACUUCCAACUCGCGAACAUCCUACAUAUAACUGCCUGUGAGAAAAGCAAGGUGAAGUCCAACAACCUUGAGAGACUGUCCUUGUUUAUUAGAUUUCUGCACCCACUUCAUCCGAAUUUGGAUGAUCAUAAUUUUCAGAGAAAUGAAUAUUUUUUAAUGAAAUUGUCUACAAAUAUAUACCUCGGAUUAUGUAGAUUCCGAGCAUAUAGGAUUUGGGGGUUAUUUUUGAAAGCUGUUCCCAACUCAGGAGGGUUUAGGAACAAGUCGUCCAUAUUUGGCCCAUUUUCUUUGUUUUGUGUGUUUGUGCAUCCAUAUAUAACCCUUAACUGUAGCUGUAAAAUUUUGGGGAAAAAUUAAAAAUUGGGGUGGGGAGCAUAUUCAUAGAAAGUUAUGAUCAUCCAAAGUCAGUGGAGCAGAAAUCUGUAGUUAUGCCGCCAGAGAAGAAUAUAAAAAAUGAAAGUACCUUUAGAAAUUCUUUUUUAUUUGAAAUAGUUACAACUGAAUAUUAAGUUUUAAUAAGGUGACUUUUUCCAAAAAUGUCCGAAAUGCGUAUUGGAAAAUCAAGAAAAAGGCGUCUAUAUCCAUAUGAAAUUUUUUCUCACAUGAAAGUACCUUUUAAGAUUCUUUACAUACACACAUAUUUCAUUUGCCUGUUGCUUAAGUAGAAAUCUACGAAUGCAGAAACGCACAAAACAGAAAAUGAAACAAAUAUGGAUGACUUGUUCCAAAACACCCCCGAGUGGGGAACAGUUCUCAGAAAUAACCCCCAAUUGUUUUCUCCAAAAAUACCUAUAUGCUCGGAAUGUACAUAGUUGAAGGUGUAUUUGUAGACAAUUUCACUAAAAAAUAUCCAUUUUCCUGAAAGUUAGGACGAAUAUACAUAAUACAGAAAUAAAGUUUUUUUAAUAGAAA